UAUGUGAUCGUCUCUCGCAUAUCAAUAAGCGGAGGAAAAGAAACUAACAAGGAUUCCCCUAGUAACGGCGAGUGAAGCGGGAAGAGCUCAAAUUUGAAAUCUUAAAGGGUUUCCCUUUACGAAUUGUAGUUUAAAGAAGUGUUUUCUGUUGAGGUUUUGGUAAAAGUUCUUUGGAAUAGGACAUCAUAGAGGGUGAGAAUCCCGUAUUUGACCUUUACUUUCAACUUUGUGAUACACUUUCAAAGAGUCGGAUUGUUUGGGAAUGCAGUCCAAAAUGGGUGGUAAAUUUCAUCUAAAGCUAAAUAUUGGCGAGAGACCGAUAGCGAACAAGUACCGUGAGGGAAAGAUGAAAAGAACUUUGAAAAGAGAGUUAAACAGUACGUGAAAUUGUCAAAAGGGAAGCGUUUGACACCAGUGUUGUUUUUCUGAAAAUCAAUUAAAGAACUGUUUAUGCUAAGUUGUUAGACUUUAUCAGCUAACUGUUUAGUUUUGAGCUUUUCUUUAAUGCACUUUUCAGUUAACAAGUCAACAUCAAUUUCUUUUGCUGUAAAAAAGCUUGAGGAAGGUGGCUUGAGAUUCGUCUUAAGUGUUUAUAGCCUCUUGCCUAUGCAGUCGGAGAGAUUGAGGUCUGCAGCGUAGAUCCUUCGGGGCUAAAUGCAUUUGUGCUAAGUUAUAGCAUUUUAUAGACAACUUGUUGACUAUGAUUUGUCUUGUAGCUUACUCGCUUAUGUUAUUUUACCUACGCUUAGGAUGUUGACACACGCGCGUGCUCG
This 773-nucleotide ribosomal RNA is filed under the name uncultured Neocallimastigales. Its description in RNAcentral is "partial large subunit ribosomal RNA". It matches the Rfam family "Eukaryotic large subunit ribosomal RNA", at positions 24 to 643 of the family's 3401-position model. The record is from RNAcentral. Lineage: Eukaryota; Fungi; Neocallimastigomycota; Neocallimastigomycetes; Neocallimastigales.